This 253-nucleotide ribosomal RNA is filed under the name uncultured bacterium. RNAcentral describes it as "partial 16S ribosomal RNA". It matches the Rfam family "Bacterial small subunit ribosomal RNA", at positions 524 to 776 of the family's 1533-position model. The record is from RNAcentral.
UACGUAGGGAGCAAGCGUUGUCCGGAAUCAUUGGGCGUAAAGCGCGCGUAGGUGGCCUCAUAAGUCCGCUGUGAAAGUCAAAGGCUCAACCUUUGAAAGCCGGUGGAUACUGUGGGGCUAGAGUACGGAAGAGGCGAGUGGAAUUCCCGGUGUAGUGGUGAAAUGCGUAGAUAUCGGGAGGAACACCAGUGGCGAAGGCGACUACCUGGCCUGUUCUUGACGCUGAGGCGCGAAAGCUAGGGGAGCAAACGGG